Molecule: ribosomal RNA, 492 nt
Filed under: uncultured bacterium
Lineage: Bacteria
Description: partial 16S ribosomal RNA
Rfam family: Bacterial small subunit ribosomal RNA
Source: RNAcentral
AGUGAACGCUGGCGGUAGGCCUAACACAUGCAAGUCGAACGGCAGCACAGUAAGAGCUUGCUCUUACGGGUGGCGAGUGGCAGACGGGUGAGGAAUACAUCGGAAUCUACUUUUUCGUGGGGGAUAACGUAGGGAAACUUACGCUAAUACCGCAUACGACCUACGGGUGAAAGCAGGGGAUCUUCGGACCUUGCGCGAUUGAAUGAGCCGAUGUCGGAUUAGCUAGUUGGCGGGGUAAAGGCCCACCAAGGGGACGAUCCGUAGCUGGUCUGAGAGGAUGAUCGCCCGCCCGAGAGGGGAGACGGGCACACGACUCCUGAGGGACGGCGCAGAGGGCAAUGUUGGCCAAGGGGGGGAAGCAUGACCCAGCGAUCGCGCGUGGGAAAAAACGGCCUUGGGUUUGGAACGCCUUUUUUUGGGAAAAAAAAAGCAUGAGGUAAAUACCCCGCUGUUGUGACGGUACCCAAAGAAAAAGCACCGGCUAACUACGUG